UCUGCUGCUUUAACAAUUUACUCGGAUUACAGCGUUAGCCCGAGUAUCCCUGUAAUUAGUUACUGAAUUUCCAGGGAAAAGUUCAGUAAAGUAUACUAAAGUAUUAAAGUGUUAAUUAUAUAUAUCACAUACACAUUCUUUUAAAUACAGUGUAUACAUAUUAACAAUAAAAUUUCAUAGUAUAAAUCACGUGUUUACGGAACAUCAUUUUGCCUUCCGAAUUUGUGUUCAUCGUCCCGUGUUUACAUCUUUGACCCAGUUAAUUGUACUUGACCUUUUGUGCUGGAUUAGUUACAAAUCAUUGUCCGAAAGCUAGUGCAAAAGGAAGCACAUGUUUGUUGUGAAAAUAAAUUUUUGGAUUAGAUAAAACUUGUUUGGUAAGUGUUAUUUACUAUUCGUUAACGAUUUUGUCAUAGAAACAAAAUAAAUGUAUCUAAAGUGAAAAAGAUUAGAUGUUUCUGGAAAUAUAAUAGAAAGAAUAAGGAUUUUAACAUGUGAUUUGAUACCAACAAAGUGAAC
RNAcentral lists this long non-coding RNA (519 nucleotides) under Mytilus galloprovincialis (Mediterranean mussel). Lineage: Eukaryota; Metazoa; Mollusca; Bivalvia; Mytilida; Mytilidae. The record is from RNAcentral.